This 251-nucleotide unclassified non-coding RNA is filed under the name Hevea brasiliensis (rubber tree). The record is from RNAcentral. Lineage: Eukaryota; Viridiplantae; Streptophyta; Magnoliopsida; Malpighiales; Euphorbiaceae.
AUAUUAUUGAAGGCAAAUUAAUUGGAAAGGUAAUGAGUGUGAAAUAUAUAAUUAUUUUUCCAUUUGUGUUAUUUAAUUCAAUUUAUGUGUUGGAAAUAUGAUCUAUUACAUAUCUUACCAUGGAAAUUCAAAUAGAAUAUAUUAAUGAACUUCAACAAUUGUUUUUGAGGUGGUUACUAAUGCUAGGAAAAAGCCAUUGAAGAAUUACCCUUAUUCAGUCAUUUUUCAUUUGCCUACUAUUUUGAAUGGUG